UACGGAGGAUCCGAGCGUUAUCCAGAUUUAUUGGGUUUAAAGGGUGCGCAGGUUGUUUGAUAAGUCAGUGGUGAAAGUCUGUCGCUUAACGGUAGGAUUGCCAUUGAUACUGUUGGACUUGAAUAUGGAUGAGGUAGGCGGAAUGUGUAGUGUAGCGGUGAAAUGCAUAGAUAUUACACAGAACACCGAUUGCGAAGGCAGCUUACUAAUCCAUCAUUGACGCUGAGGCACGAAAGCGUGGGGAUCAAACA
Molecule: ribosomal RNA, 251 nt
Filed under: uncultured prokaryote
Description: partial 16S ribosomal RNA
Rfam family: Bacterial small subunit ribosomal RNA
Source: RNAcentral